Molecule: microRNA precursor, 108 nt
Organism: Sorghum bicolor (sorghum)
Lineage: Eukaryota; Viridiplantae; Streptophyta; Magnoliopsida; Poales; Poaceae
Rfam family: MIR5565 microRNA precursor family
Source: Rfam
GUAGUCGAAUUCGCAUCAAUCCACAUAUGUUGUGUGGGUUGGAGUGAAACUUGAACUAAAUUCCACCCCAAUCCACUCCAAUACAUGUAGAUUAAGAUGAAUCCGACA